Molecule: ribosomal RNA, 300 nt
Filed under: uncultured Syntrophomonas sp.
Lineage: Bacteria; Bacillati; Bacillota; Clostridia; Eubacteriales; Syntrophomonadaceae
Description: bacterial SSU rRNA
Rfam family: Bacterial small subunit ribosomal RNA
Source: RNAcentral
GCGGAGUACGGGCAAGCGGCGGCGGGAGUGCGGAGGGGGGAAGCGUUAUCCGGAUUUACUGGUGGUAAAGGGGGCGUAGGCGGAUGGACAAGUCUGAGGUGAAAGGCUUGGGCUCAACCCCGGGACUGCAUUGGAAACUGCCCGGCUUGAGUGCCGGAGAGGUAAGCGGAAUUCCUAGUGUAGCGGUGAAAUGCGUAGAUAUUAGGAGGAACACCAGUGGCGAAGGCGGCUUACUGGACGGUAACUGACGUUGAGGCUCGAAAGCGUGGGGAGCAAACAGGAUUAGAUACCCGAGUAGUC